Molecule: ribosomal RNA, 1444 nt
Filed under: metagenome
Description: bacterial SSU rRNA
Rfam family: Bacterial small subunit ribosomal RNA
Source: RNAcentral
AGAGUUUGAUCCUGGCUCAGGAUGAACGCUGGCGGCGUGCUUAACACAUGCAAGUCGAACGAACCUUCGGGUUAGUGGCGGACGGGUGAGUAACGCGUGAGAAUCUGCCCUCAGGAGGGGGAUAACGGCUGGAAACGGCCGCUAAUACCCCAUAUGCCGAGAGGUGAAAUGAGUUUUCGCCUGAGGAUGAGCUCGCGUCUGAUUAGCUAGUUGGUGGGGUAAGAGCCUACCAAGGCAUCGAUCAGUAGCUGGUCUGAGAGGAUGAUCAGCCACACUGGGACUGAGACACGGCCCAGACUCCUACGGGAGGCAGCAGUGGGGAAUUUUCCGCAAUGGGCGAAAGCCUGACGGAGCAACGCCGCGUGAGGGAUGAAGGCCUCUGGGCUGUAAACCUCUUUUAUCAAGGAAGAAGAUCUGACGGUACUUGAUGAAUAAGCCACGGCUAAUUCCGUGCCAGCAGCCGCGGUAAUACGGGAGUGGCAAGCGUUAUCCGGAAUUAUUGGGCGUAAAGCGUCCGCAGGCGGCCUUAUAAGUCUGUUGUCAAAGCGUGGAGCUUAACUCCAUUUCGGCAAUGGAAACUGUGAGGCUUGAGUGUGGUAGGGGCAGAGGGAAUUCCCGGUGUAGCGGUGAAAUGCGUAGAUAUCGGGAAGAACACCAGUGGCGAAGGCGCUCUGCUGGGCCAUAACUGACGCUCAUGGACGAAAGCCAGGGGAGCGAAAGGGAUUAGAUACCCCUGUAGUCCUGGCCGUAAACGAUGAACACUAGGUGUCGGGGGAAUCGACCCCCUCGGUGUCGUAGCCAACGCGUUAAGUGUUCCGCCUGGGGAGUACGCACGCAAGUGUGAAACUCAAAGGAAUUGACGGGGGCCCGCACAAGCGGUGGAGUAUGUGGUUUAAUUCGAUGCAACGCGAAGAACCUUACCAGGGUUUGACAUCCUGCGAAUCCCUUGGAAACUUGGGAGUGCCUUCGGGAGCGCAGUGACAGGUGGUGCAUGGCUGUCGUCAGCUCGUGUCGCGAGAUGUUGGGUUAAGUCCCGCAACGAGCGCAACCCACGUCUUUAGUUGCCAGCAUUCAGUUGGGCACUCUAGAGAGACCGCCGGUGAUAAACCGGAGGAAGGUGUGGAUGACGUCAAGUCAUCAUGCCCCUUACAUCCUGGGCUACACACGUACUACAAUGCUACGGACAAAGGGCAGCAAACUCGCGAGAGCUAGCAAAUCCCAUAAACCGUGGCUCAGUUCAGAUCGUAGGCUGCAACUCGCCUACGUGAAGGAGGAAUCGCUAGUAAUCGCAGGUCAGCAUACUGCGGUGAAUACGUUCCCGGGCCUUGUACACACCGCCCGUCACACCAUGGAAGUUGGCCACGCCCGAAGCCGUUACUCCAACCCUUGUGGAGGAGGACGUCGAAGGUGGGGCUGAUGACUGGGGUGAAGUCGGAACAAGGUA